RNAcentral lists this ribosomal RNA (197 nucleotides) under uncultured Anaerolineaceae bacterium. RNAcentral's name for it is "partial 16S ribosomal RNA". It matches the Rfam family "Bacterial small subunit ribosomal RNA", at positions 1191 to 1382 of the family's 1533-position model. The record is from RNAcentral. Lineage: Bacteria; Bacillati; Chloroflexota; Anaerolineae; Anaerolineales; Anaerolineaceae.
CAGCAUGGCCUUUACUUAUCCUGGGCGUACACACACGCUACAAUGGGAAGGGACAAUAGGUUGCGAAGCCGCGAGGCGGAGCCAAUCCAGCAAAACUUCCCUCAGUUCAGAUUGCAGGCUGCAACUCGCCUGCAUGAAGUUGGAGCUGCUAGUAAACGCAGGUCAGCCAUACUGCGUUGAAUACGUUCCCGGGGCUU